GCUGGGUGUGGUGGUGCACACCUGUAAUCCCAGCAGCUUGGGAGGCUGAGGCAGGAGGAUCACAAAUUCAAAGCCAGCCUUAGCAAAAAGCGAGGCACUAAACAACUCAGUGAGACCCUGUCUCUA
This 126-nucleotide small RNA is filed under the name Marmota monax (woodchuck). Lineage: Eukaryota; Metazoa; Chordata; Mammalia; Rodentia; Sciuridae. The record is from RNAcentral.